RNAcentral lists this ribosomal RNA (683 nucleotides) under uncultured bacterium. Its description in RNAcentral is "bacterial SSU rRNA". It matches the Rfam family "Bacterial small subunit ribosomal RNA", at positions 104 to 805 of the family's 1533-position model. The record is from RNAcentral.
GGGUGAGUAACGCGUGGGCAACCUGCCCUGUACCGGGGGACAACAGCCAGAAAUGGCUGCUAAUACCGCAUAAGCCUGCUGUGCCGCAUGGCACAGCAGGGAAAACCACGGUGGUACAGGAUGGGCCCGCGUCUGAUUAGUUAGUUGGCAGGGUAACGGCCUACCAAGACAACGAUCAGUAGCCGGCUUGAGAGAGUGGACGGCCACAUUGGGACUGAGACACGGCCCAGACUCCUGCGGGAGGCAGCAGUGGGGAAUAUUGCACAAUGGGGGGAACCCUGAUGCAGCAAUGCCGCGUGGGCGAAGAAGCACUCCGGUGCGUAAAGCCCUGUCAGCAGGGAAGAAAAUGACAGUACCUGGACAAGAAGCCCCGGCUAACUACGUGCCAGCAGCCGCGGUAAUACGUAGGGGGCAAGCGUUAUCCGGAUUUACUGGGUGUAAAGGGAGCGCAGGCGGCGUGGCAAGUCAGAUGUGAAAACCCGGGGCCCAACCCCGGGAGUGCAUUUGAAACUGCCAUGCUGGAGUGCCGGAGAGGUAAGCGGAAUUCCUAGUGUAGCGGUGAAAUGCGUAGAUAUUAGGAGGAACACCAGUGGCGGAGGCGGCUUACUGGACGGUAACUGACGCUGAGGCUCGAAAGCGUGGGGAGCAAACAGGAUUAGAUACCCUGGUAGUCCACGCCGUAA